Molecule: long non-coding RNA, 2281 nt
Organism: Artibeus jamaicensis (Jamaican fruit-eating bat)
Lineage: Eukaryota; Metazoa; Chordata; Mammalia; Chiroptera; Phyllostomidae
Exons: 3
Source: RefSeq, a predicted model, not a curated record
GUGCUCCACAGCCCCAGGACUGGUUGGGGGGCCAGGCAUGGGGCCUUCGGGAGAGCUGGCCUGGGCCUGCCCUCCUGGACAAUGUCAAGAGCAGUGCCCAUGCUUGACAACCCACCCCUCCACCCAGAUGAACAGAAACUGCUGGAACAAAACCUCAGCAGAGUUAGGGCGGAGCUGCCAUCAGACUGAAGCUGACCCACUGCGGGAUACACAGUCUAGUCCUUCCCCCACCCCCAUCCCCACCCUUCUUCUGGCCCUUCUCCUUCAGCCACUGGCUAGACAAACCCUUGCCCACUUGGCAUCUCCUGUCCAGUCUUCAGCUAACUCCUCAGGUGAGGAGGCAGUCAGCGCAUCUUGGCCCCGCUUCUUCCUCCUCAACACAGAUGGUACCAGACCCGGAUGUCCCCUCCUCUUACGUCCAGCGGGACGAGAAGGGUAAGCUCGCAGGUUCAGAAAUCAACAAACAUGUCAUCCACACAUACCGAGUGCCUACCACGUGCUGUGUCCUUUAUACACUCCGUUCAUUUAAUGCCCAGGACAACCCCAUGAGGUAGGUGCCCUCACCUCCAUGGUACAGAUGAGGAAACUGAGGCACAGAAAUGAAGCACCCGGCCCAAGGGACACAAUCUGUAAGUGCUAGCCAGAGCCAGCACCUAAGCCAGCUCGUGUCACUCUGGAGUCUUGAGCUGUUUCCAUCCCAGGCAACUCCGCUUCCACUCCUCCACCCUCAUCCCCACCUCAGGGCAGAGCCUCUGAGCACUCAGGAGAGCCCGGCCCAGGCGGUGGGGGCUUCGAGAGAAUGGAAAGACUUCAGCUUCUGUUUCUAACCGCUCAGGCCCGGGGGGUGGUCUGAUUUACCCUGGAUGUGAGGGAGUCAGAGGGCCUUUCCCAUGACGGGUUCUUUUGUCCUCUCCAAAAUUCAUCCGUUGACUCCUAACCCCCGGCAGGAGGGGCCUUGGUGGAACCCUCAGGAACGGGACUAGCGCUCUUAUAAAAGAGGCUCCAGAGAGAUCUCUGCCAUCUUCUGCCACGUGAGGACAGUGAGAAGGCACUGGCCGAAUCAGGACAAGACCGUGAACUUCACCAGAAUGUGACCAUGCCAGCACCAUGGGCUUGGGGUUGCAGCCUCCAGAAUGGAGAAUCAGAUGUCCUUUGUUCAUAACCUACCUGACCUGUGACAUUGUGUUAUAGCAGCCCAAAUGAGCUAAGACGGGAAGCCCUGUGUGCUUGGGGCUAAUAAAUGUGCAGGUCACCAUGCCAACUCUUGAAUGACCUCCAUGGUGACCACAUAACCUGGCUUCUCCCGAAUGGACCUAGCUUCUGGCAUCUCAUUGGUCACAGCAGAACCAAUUUAAGGGAGAAAAAAGAGGGAAAGGAAAGGAAGAGAAGAGAAGAGAAUUGAAGAGAAAAGAAAAGAGGAAGGAAAGGAAAAAGAGAAAGGAAGGAAAAGGGUCAGCGGGCACUGCUCUCUGGCAUCCCCCGCCUGCCUGCACCCCGACCCCAUCGCACUCUGCGUGUCAGAGGAAGUAAAACUGGUGCAGGCGGGCUCCCAACACACAGCAGUGAACCAGGAAGCCCCUGGAGGUAGGCUGCCUGAGUCUGGGUCCUGUCUCCACUACUCACCAGUUGACCAGGAGUACGAUGCCUCAGCUUCCUCACCUGUAAGUGGGGCUGGUGACUGUUUUCAGAGGGCUGCUGUGGGGCUAAAUGUAAUAUUAAACUUAGCACGGUGCCUGGCAUGUAGUUAGUGCUCAGUAUCUGUUAGCCACUAUAAUUAUGCCAAUAGGCCCUUGCUGACCAGGCCUCUUCCUUCAGGGAGCCUUCCUUGACCACCCCAGGCCAUAGCAACCCUUCCUCCUCUGAGUUCUCUGUCUCUGCCUUGUCUCCUUGUCUCUGCUACCAUCUGCCGUUCAGUCGCCUGCACCGAGUGCCUCCACUCUGAGGGCUCUGAGCCAGGCCUCAGGGUCAGAGGGACACGUCAGACAAUCACCCGAACUUUGUGCUGAGCAAUACUGAACGUUCAGGUGCUGCCUCUGUUCUGUCAAUCACUCCCUGUGGGGCCCAGGUCAGGAUGCUCCCCCAACCUGUGCUUCCGGGCCCGCCCCCAGCUGCACAGAGAAGCGUUUGGCCAGACCAGAAAAGCGGGAGGCAGAGCAGGCCCAAAUGUCUACGAUGGGUCUGGCAGAGCAGACGUCAAAUGGGGAGCUUCGGAGCAUGUGUUACGGGGGCAGGGAGCACCCCCUUCGCUGCUCCCUGCAGAUGUGUGGGCCCUGGGGGGCUG